This is a non-coding RNA of Camellia sinensis, 690 nucleotides long. The record is from RefSeq and is a predicted model, not a curated record. Lineage: Eukaryota; Viridiplantae; Streptophyta; Magnoliopsida; Ericales; Theaceae.
AAUCUGAAUUCAUUGACAGCCCCCACAAAGUUUAUGUCGGCAAUCUUGCAAAAACAGUAACUACAGAGAUGCUCAAAAACUUCUUUGCUGAGAAAGGGAAGGUUCUUAGUGCAAAGGUAUCCCGAGUUCCAGGGACCUCAAAAUCUAGUGGUUUUGGGUUUGUAACAUUUUCUUCAGAAGAGGCUGUCGAAGCUGUAAUCUCAUCCGUAAACAAUGCUUUGCUUGAAGGGCAGAAAAUUCGUGUAAACAAGGCUUAAUUAGCAGAAACUUGGUAUUAAUGUGGCAUAGCAUAGGUGGGAGAACUUGGGUUGGGGAGAAUGGUUUGCACUGUAACUGUUGGAUUGAGAAUUGGAUGUUCUUUUUGUAGAGUCAGGGAACAAGAAUUACAAUAUUUAGAGAACAUCAAACUGUUACCAAAAAGAAGGAAAAAAAGAAAAGGAACAGCCAAGUGUUGAUGAUUGUUUUGUUCGGAGCUUUCUGUUUCUUUGGUUACAAUGAUGAAGUUCAUUGAAAAAGUUUAAAGUAGUUGAGUUCUUGCAUUGUACUUCUUACGUAGUUUUGAUCUCUCAAGCUUCAUGUUUUUGUAAGGAUCUCUUAUUAUUUGCCCUAGACACUUGACAGUUUUUGAGAGAUUAUGUGCACUGAACUAUAAAGAAAAUUGUGCAGUGAAGUUCAAUUUACCUUUUUCAA